CAGCUUGCUGGGUGGAUUAGUGGCGAACGGGUGAGUAACACGUGAGUAACCUGCCCUUAACUCUGGGAUAAGCCUGGGAAACUGGGUCUAAUACCGGAUAGGAGCGCCUACCGCAUGGUGGGUGUUGGAAAGAUUUAUCGGUUUUGGAUGGACUCGCGGCCUAUCAGCUUGUUGGUGAGGUAAUGGCUCACCAAGGCGACGACGGGUAGCCGGCCUGAGAGGGUGACCGGCCACACUGGGACUGAGACACGGCCCAGACUCCUACGGGAGGCAGCAGUGGGGAAUAUUGCACAAUGGGCGCAAGCCUGAUGCAGCGACGCCGCGUGAGGGAUGACGGCCUUCGGGUUGUAAACCUCUUUCAGUAGGGAAGAAGCGAAAGUGACGGUACCUGCAGAAGAAGCACCGGCUAACUACGUGCCAGCAGCCGCGGUAAUACGUAGGGUGCGAGCGUUAUCCGGAAUUAUUGGGCGUAAAGAGCUCGUAGGCGGUUUGUCGCGUCUGUCGUGAAAGUCCGGGGCUUAACCCCGGAUCUGCGGUGGGUACGGGCAGACUAGAGUGCAGUAGGGGAGACUGGAAUUCCUGGUGUAGCGGUGGAAUGCGCAGAUAUCAGGAGGAACACCGAUGGCGAAGGCAGGUCUCUGGGCUGUAACUGACGCUGAGGAGCGAAAGCAUGGGGAGCGAACAGGAUUAGAUACCCUGGUAGUCCAUGCCGUAAACGUUGGGCACUAGGUGUGGGGACCAUUCCACGGUUUCCGCGCCGCAGCUAACGCAUUAAGUGCCCCGCCUGGGGAGUACGGCCGCAAGGCUAAAACUCAAAGGAAUUGACGGGGGCCCGCACAAGCGGCGGAGCAUGCGGAUUAAUUCGAUGCAACGCGAAGAACCUUACCAAGGCUUGACAUGUUCUCGAUCGCCGUAGAGAUACGGUUUCCCCUUUGGGGCGGGUUCACAGGUGGUGCAUGGGUUGUCGUCAGCUCGUGUCGUGAGAUGUUGGGGUUAAGUCCCCGCAACGAGCGCAACCCUCGUUCCAUGUUGCCAGCACGUAAUGGUGGGGACUCAUGGGAGACUGCCGGGGUCAACUCGGAGGAAGGUGAGGACGACGUCAAAUCAUCAUGCCCCUUAUGUCUUGGGCUUCACGCAUGCUACAAUGGCCGGUACAAUGGGUUGCGAUACUGUGAGGUGGAGCUAAUCCCAAAAAGCCGGUCUCAGUUCGGAUUGGGGUCUGCAACUCGACCCCAUGAAGUCGGAGUCGCUAGUAAUCGCAGAUCAGCAACGCUGCGGUGAAUACGUUCCCGGGCCUUGUACACACCGCCCGUCAAGUCACGAAAGUUUGGUAACACCCGAAGCCGGUGGCCUAACCCU
This 1359-nucleotide ribosomal RNA is filed under the name bacterium EM-2014-208. RNAcentral describes it as "contains 16S-23S intergenic spacer region". It matches the Rfam family "Bacterial small subunit ribosomal RNA", at positions 76 to 1442 of the family's 1533-position model. The record is from RNAcentral.